UGGGGAAUAUUGGACAAUGGGCGAAAGCCUGAUCCAGCCAUGCCGCGUGUGUGAAGAAGGUCUUCGGAUUGUAAAGCACUUUAAGUUGGGAGGAAGGGCAGUAAGCGAAUACCUUGCUGUUUUGACGUUACCGACAGAAUAAGCACCGGCUAACUCUGUGCCAGCAGCCGCGGUAAUACAGAGGGUGCAAGCGUUAAUCGGAAUUACUGGGCGUAAAGCGCGCGUAGGUGGGUCGUUAAGUUGAAUGUGAAAGCCCCGGGCUCAACCUGGGAACUGCAUCCAAAACUGGCGAGCUAGAGUAGGGCAGAGGGUGGUGGAAUUGCCUGUGUAGCGGUGAAAUGCGUAGAUAUAGAAAGGAACACCAGUGGCGAAGGCGACCACCUGGGCUAAUACUGACACUGAGGUGCGAAAGCGUGGGGAGCAAACAGG
Molecule: ribosomal RNA, 429 nt
Filed under: Pseudomonadota bacterium
Lineage: Bacteria; Pseudomonadati; Pseudomonadota
Description: Proteobacteria bacterium partial 16S ribosomal RNA
Rfam family: Bacterial small subunit ribosomal RNA
Source: RNAcentral